RNAcentral lists this ribosomal RNA (499 nucleotides) under uncultured bacterium. RNAcentral's name for it is "partial 16S ribosomal RNA". It matches the Rfam family "Bacterial small subunit ribosomal RNA", at positions 28 to 507 of the family's 1533-position model. The record is from RNAcentral.
GAUGAACGCUGGCGGCGUGCCUAAUACAUGCAAGUCGAGCGAACAGACGAGAGUGCUUGCACUCUCUGACGUUAGCGGCGGACGGGUGAGUAACACGUGGGUAACCUACCUAUAAGACUGGGAUAACUUCGGGAAACCGGAGCUAAUACCGGAUAAUAUUUAGCUUCGCAUGAAGCAAUAGUGAAAGACGGUUCUGCUGUCACUUAUAGAUGGACCCGCGGUGUAUUAGCUAGUUGGUGGGGUAACGGCUCACCAAGGCAACGAUACAUAGCCGACCUGAGAGGGUGAUCGGCCACACUGGGACUGAGACACGGCCCAGACUCCUACGGGAGGCAGCAGUAGGGAAUCUUCCGCAAUGGACGAAAGUCUGACGGAGCAAUGCCGCGUGAGUGAAGAAGGUUUUCGGAUCGUAAAACUCUGUUGUAAGGGAAGAACAAGUACGUUAGUAACUGAACGUACCUUGACGGUACCUUACCAGAAAGCCACGGCUAACUACGUG